UCCGCCUGAUCUCCCUACUCUCCCGACUCUCUUCUUCAUCACCCGAUGCCACCACCGAUGUCGCGCCACCCGUUGUCGUCGCCGGUGAAGUCCCAAUGUCGCAGCUACCUCGUGAGCGCCUUCCUCUUCCCUGACUUGUCGCCGACGCCAAACGCUGGCUAGCGACGUGCCCUAAUGUCGACACAGAUUCUUCAUCUUUAACCUCGAGUGGUGCCCGAGCCCUAACCUCAUGGUCUCCUCCAGAUCCACCACUACUGAUAGCCGAGCAACGUCGCCGCCCUCUUCCUCACGCACCUCUGCCCUUUCGAUUGCCGAUCCACCAUUGUCGGCACAAAUCCUGCACCUUCUACGAGUCGUCUGUUGAUCUCUCCAUCCACGAGCAGGGAGUUGUCGAUUCAUAGUCACACCCUUCUUCUCAAUUGCAUUGCCUGUGUCGACCCAUCAUCACCACUACCCACCUUGUCAAUACUAUGACCCUCGGUCAGGAGAGAGAGCGCCAUCACUCAUCUUCAACCUAAUCUAGCCGUUGGUCGCCAGCUCUCUCCUCUGCCCUGACUCGACACCACAAUAGCCAUCAGCGGGCCUUCCUCUUUCCGAUUCAUCACUGCUAUCUUCUCUCGCUACUGUGCCCUAGAGCCCCAUCCGUGCUCUGUCCAGAUUCAGAAGGGAGGAUGAUCGAUAGAGACACCAUCUCCUCAUCAAAUCCGAAGAGGAGAGCUAAAAUUUCACCACAACAUCAAUUGGAUUUCGUCCUACAGGAAUUUCAAAUUCUGAUUUGUAGAUUUGUUUAGAGAUCCGCGGCUGCACUAUAGCUCCGACCAUGAAUCCCCAGCAGCAAGCUUCUUUGGCUGGGUCAACAUCGAAGUCUUUAGAUUUGGGACUCUGAUUAGAGACGAGCGUCUCGACAUGGGAGUUAGUUGAUACGAGCUACGAUAAAGAUAAAGGCAAGGAAUGGAUGUACUAGGGGAGCAGCAGGAGGGCUUGAAGGAUGUG
Long non-coding RNA from Zingiber officinale, 993 nucleotides. RefSeq lists it as uncharacterized. Lineage: Eukaryota; Viridiplantae; Streptophyta; Magnoliopsida; Zingiberales; Zingiberaceae. The transcript has 4 exons. The record is from RefSeq and is a predicted model, not a curated record.